This 1155-nucleotide long non-coding RNA is filed under the name Vulpes vulpes (red fox). RNAcentral describes it as "lncRNA (ENSVVUG00000019127.1)". The record is from RNAcentral. Lineage: Eukaryota; Metazoa; Chordata; Mammalia; Carnivora; Canidae.
AUGCAAUUCUCCAGGCCUCAUUUUCCACGUCUACAAAGUGGAGGUCAGAAAAAAAAGGGUGGGGGGGGCGCUUCAAAGAGUCCGCUUGCAAGAAGCAGAGGAGUUACUAUCAAGUCAAGGGACACGUGCCCGCCGUGGCUGCCUGCCGGGCGGGGUGGGCCUGCCCCCGGGGAUGUCCUCGUCCUGUGCACGGGGACGCGCGGGCGGAGUCCUUGCAGCAGCACCUGGGCCCACCUGCUGCGGUGCCCCUGGGGGUCAGCCGUCGGGGACCGCCGGCUCGGGCCGCCCAGGGGCCCCCACGUGCAGGGCCGCCCUCCUCCUGCUCCUGCUCCUGCUCCUGCUCCUGCUCCUGCUCCUGCUCCUCCCCGCGCUGCAGCAGCUGCCGUCGCCUCGGAAGCAGCCCGGGGCCGCCGCUGGACACGCCUGGAGGUGCUGCCGCCGGCCUCAGGAGCCCGGGGCCCUGGUCUGCAGGCGUGCUUCUCAGGCACCGGCGCUUCCUGCUCUUGCUCGUCGGGUCCGGAACCCCGGGGGCGGGGGGACCAGGCAGCGCGCGUCCCCUCCUCCCAGGCAGCCGCAGGUGGGCGGAGAAGCGGGGCUGCCCCCCCACCCCGGCCCGCACAGGCCUCACCUGCGGGCGCACCUGGGGCGCGGCCAGGACAUGCCUCAGAUCAUCACUGCAAAUUACAAGUGGAGUGGCUGGGACAGUGCUCAACCCAUCAUGACCUCAAACCCCCAAAUCUGAAAAACUCAGGAUUAACUCAAAAAUCUGUCUCCCAAGCUUCUCAGGAGUAGAGCUUUAUAUAGAGACUUGUCUUUGGUUUCAUACCCUGGCUCUCAUCUGUCCCUUCUAUAUGGAGAAGGCCUGAACCAAUGCGUGUUACCUGCAGAAGCAGAAGGCCGCCCUGAAUGAUGAAUAGAGAGGCCCUGAUGCAGAAGAUGGUGAACACUUCCAUUUAGGGCAACUCACUAUAAGCAAGAAAUGUCUUCGAGGGGUGCCAGGGUGGCUUAGUCCGCUAAGGGCCUGCCUUUGACUCAAGUCACGAUCCUGGAGUCUGGGGAUCAAGCCCCGCCUUGGGCUCCCUGCUCAGUGAGGAGGCUGCUUCUCCCUCUACUCCUCAUCCUGCUCAUGCUCACUGUCUCUCUCUCUCUCUCUGU